CCUACGGGAGGCAGCAGUAGGGAAUCUUCCACAAUGGACGAAAGUCUGAUGGAGCAACGCCGCGUGAGUGAAGAAGGGUUUCGGAUCGUAAAGUUCUGUUGAAGGGGAAAAAGAGCGGAGAGAGGAAAUGGUCUCCGAUUGAUAUUACCCUUCGAGGAAGUCACGGCUAACUACGUGCCAGCAGCCGCGGUAAUACGUAGGUGGCGAGCGUUAUCCGGAAUGAUUGGGCGUAAAGGGUGCGUAGGCGGCCUGCUAAGUCUGGAGUGAAAGGUACCGGCUCAACCGGUACAGGCUCUGGAAACUGG
This 305-nucleotide ribosomal RNA is filed under the name uncultured bacterium. RNAcentral's name for it is "bacterial SSU rRNA". It matches the Rfam family "Bacterial small subunit ribosomal RNA", at positions 338 to 636 of the family's 1533-position model. The record is from RNAcentral.